RNAcentral lists this ribosomal RNA (489 nucleotides) under uncultured bacterium. RNAcentral describes it as "partial 16S ribosomal RNA". It matches the Rfam family "Bacterial small subunit ribosomal RNA", at positions 28 to 506 of the family's 1533-position model. The record is from RNAcentral.
GAUGAACGCUAGCUACAGGCUUAACACAUGCAAGUCGCGGGGCAGCAUGGGGGUUGCUUGCAAUCCCCGAUGGCGACCGGCGCACGGGUGAGUAACGCGUAUCCAACCUGCCCUUCACCACGGGAUAACCCGGCGAAAGUCGGACUAAUACCGUAUGUUGUCCAUUGACGGCAUCCGAUUUGGACGAAAGGCUUGGCGGUGAGGGAUGGGGAUGCGUCCGAUUAGCCAGACGGCGGGGUAACGGCCCACCGUGGCUACGAUCGGUAGGGGUUCUGAGAGGAAGGUCCCCCACACUGGAACUGAGACACGGUCCAGACUCCUACGGGAGGCAGCAGUGAGGAAUAUUGGUCAAUGGGCGUAAGCCUGAACCAGCCAAGUGGCGUGCAGGAUGACGGCCCUAUGGGUUGUAAACUGCUUUUAUGCGGGGAUAAAGUGGCCCACGUGUGGGCUUUUGCAGGUACCGCAUGAAUAAGGACCGGCUAAUUCCGU